GUACCAGGUAAUAACAUGGUUAUAUACAGGGAGUACCAGGUAAUAACAUGGUUAUAUACAGGAAGUACCAGGUAAUAACAUGGCUAUAUACAGGGAGUACCAGGUAAUAACAUGGCUAUAUACAGGGAGUACCAGGUAAUAACAUGGCUAUAUACAGGGAGUACCAGGUAAUAACAUGGCUAUAUACAGGAAGUACCAGGUAAUAACAUGGCUAUAUACAGGGAGUACCAGGUAAUAACAUGGUUAUAUACAGGGAGUACCAGGUAAUAACAUGGCUAUAUACAGGGAGUACCAGGUAAUAACAUGGCUAUAUACAG
RNAcentral lists this long non-coding RNA (317 nucleotides) under Salmo salar (Atlantic salmon). RNAcentral's name for it is "lncRNA (ENSSSAG00000108385.1)". The record is from RNAcentral. Lineage: Eukaryota; Metazoa; Chordata; Actinopteri; Salmoniformes; Salmonidae.